CGGGGGAGCACCACAACAGGUGGAGCCUGCGGUUUUAAUCGGACUCAACGCCGGGAAACUCACCAGAUUAAGACAGCUGAAUGAUAGUCGGGCUGAAGACUCUACUUGACUAGCUGAGAGGAGGUGCAUGGCCGUCGUCAGUUCGUACUGUGAAGCAUCCUGUUAAGUCAGGGCAACGAGCGAGACCCACGCCAACAGUUGCCAGCUCGUCCUCCGGGAUGGUGGGGACACUGUUGGGACCGCCUCUGCUAAAGAGGAGGAAGGAAUGGGCAACGGUAGGUCAGCAUCGCCCCGAAUUAUCUGGGCUACACGCGGGCUACAAUGGGUGGGACAAUGGGUAUCGACACCGAAAGGUGAAGGCAAUCUCCUAAACCCAUCCGUAGUUCGGAUUGUGGGCUGCAACUCGCCCACAUGAAGCUGGAAUCUGUAGUAAUCGUGUCUCAAAAUGGCACGGUGAAUAUGUCCCUGCUCCUU
This 474-nucleotide ribosomal RNA is filed under the name uncultured Methanomicrobiales archaeon. RNAcentral describes it as "bacterial SSU rRNA". It matches the Rfam family "Archaeal small subunit ribosomal RNA", at positions 869 to 1338 of the family's 1478-position model. Lineage: Archaea; Methanobacteriati; Methanobacteriota; Methanomicrobia; Methanomicrobiales. The record is from RNAcentral.